GUGGGGAAUAUUGGACAAUGGGCGAAAGCCUGAUCCAGCCAUGUCGCGUGUGUGAAGAAGGUCUUCGGAUUGUAAAGCACUUUAAGUUGGGAGGAAGGGCAGUAAGUUAAUACCUUGCUGUUUUGACGUUACCGACAGAAUAAGCACCGGCUAACUUCGUGCCAGCAGCCGCGGUAAUACGAAGGGUGCAAGCGUUAAUCGGAAUUACUGGGCGUAAAGCGCGCGUAGGUGGUCUUGUAAGUUGGAGGUGAAAUCCCCGGGCUCAACCUGGGAACUGCCUCCAAAACUGCAUGACUAGAGUACGGUAGAGGGUAGUGGAAUUUCCUGUGUAGCGGUGAAAUGCGUAGAUAUAGGAAGGAACACCAGUGGCGAAGGCGACUACCUGGACUGAUACUGACACUGAGGUGCGAAAGCGUGGGGAGCAAACAGGAUUAGAAACCCUUGUAGUCC
This 450-nucleotide ribosomal RNA is filed under the name uncultured bacterium. RNAcentral's name for it is "partial 16S ribosomal RNA". It matches the Rfam family "Bacterial small subunit ribosomal RNA", at positions 354 to 796 of the family's 1533-position model. The record is from RNAcentral.